AGUCUUUGUGUUCUAAGCCUGUGGUACAGGCAGCAUCACAGCACUGUCUGCACAUGAAGACACAGAGCAGGAUGGAUUUUUACUUCCUUAGGGUCUCGGCGUUCCUCUGCACCUCCUUGGCAGUGGCCUCAAAAGGCCCAUCCGUACAGGUGUCUCAAAGCCCCAGGGUCAUCUCCUUGAUGCGGCUGAACUCCUCUGCAGAGAUCUCCUGCUCAGCCACCGUCCGUCUGCAAGGCGUCGAGCUGUACGGACUCGCUCUGAAGCGCCGAUUUAGCGGGGACAGGUCGGUGCUCUACACGACGAUGAUCCAGAGCGUUCAGACGCUCCAUGACGACUUCAAAGACAGACUCUCCGUCACCGGAGACUGCUGUGACUUCACUAUCAAACUGUCUUCACUGAAGGUGGAAGAUACCGAUGGCUACUACUGCAGUUGGCAGAUAUUGGAUAAGAACGGGGAAUUCCAUAAUCAGGAGAGCAAUUACACAACCAUCAUUGUUCGCGAGCGCGAUCCUGAGGAGCCCUGCAACAGGCCAGGCAAGCAGCUGCACCGUCUGUUCCUUGGACUGAGUGUGGUGGCGUGUGCUGUCAUGUUCCUCAUCUUCACCGGGGCCCUCAUCUGGCGGUGCUCGCUGUCGUCUGUGUCUCCCCAGAGUAAAGGCAGAUACGACACCCAACAAAGCAGUCAGCACGAACUCCAUCAUCAUCAUCGUCGUCGUCCCGCUCCUCCUCCUCCUCCUCCUCCUCAUCAGCAUCAUCACCAUCAUCAUCAUCAUCAUACUCAGCAUCCUCCCCAUCUUCACUCCCACCCACCACAGCCACAAUUACAACAUUGGUCUUCACCACACCAUUAAUGCACACCUAUUCAAGAACAUCAAGAACAAGUGCACACAGUACACAUCUAUAUCACGAAUAUCCUGAGGACAAUUAACUGAGAAAAAUACAUGAUCUGAUAUUAUAUACAUUUCGAAUGCUGUGUGUAUCUGUGUGGUUUGCAAGGGUACACACUGUACCAUAAGGUAUAAUCUUAAACGUAAGUUUGUGGCAGUACUGUAGUGUAAAGAUCAUCAUGCAUUCUGUUACGGGCUAUGCAUUUCUCUUUGAAGUUUACAUCAGGGUUAGGUCAGCACAUUUUUGCAGCUAUGUCUCUCACCACAUCCUCAUCGCACUUUUUGAAAAGGAAGUCAGGCCUUUGACAUUUUUUUCCAAAGCAGAAAAUACGACAUUCAGACAUUAUAUCUCUGAGAUGUAAGCCUAUGUGUGAAAUAUGGCUGCUACAUUUUAAGAAGGGAAACUUUGUAUAGCACUUUUUAUAGUCCAGUUAAAAAUAAAAGUUUUCUUUGUAUUUAAUUUACAAUUGUAGCCUUAAAAUCUACCAGAUAAUAUGUUCUGUAUCAGUUACAAAAACUGUGUGGUCAUUUGUUUUCAAAAGUGGAAGAAACUCAAAAAAAGCUUAGGUCCUCUGGUGUUUUUUUUGCUCAUAACCUGCCGCACUUUCUUGAAACACGCUAAGGUCGAUCUUAAAUGGCACAAGCGUUCUCCUGUAUUCAAUAUUUUUUCGCUUCCUACUGGCAAUGCACCUUUUUUUCCACAGUGGAUGGAUAGGGGAGUUUAUGUUCUUCAAGACUUUUAUGAUGACAAUGGUCUACGAGCUUUCAAUGAUCUGCAAGCUGAAUAGAGUUUGCCUGGCAAAUCAUUGUUCUUUUACUUGCAACUGAGAUCUGCCAUGAAGGCAUAUGGUGUCCCUUGGGGAGUACCGCUCCUAACACACCCUUUGCAUAAAAUACUUUCUGUACAAAGACAGACAUGUGGGAUGGUCUCAAAACUUUAUAAAUUUAUCUCUGAAUCUUGUGCAUCUUUACCAGUAGAAAGUGUAUGGUGUAGGGAACUGCCCUUCUGAGGAUGAGAAAGAUUUGCUGGGACACAAUAUGGGAGAAUCUUCAUGAUACCUCCAAAAACCCUGAUCACCAAUUAAUACAUUUUAAAUGUAUACACAGGAUGUAUCUUACUCCUAGAAAACGUCAUGCCAUGAAAAUCAUCACAUCUCCUAAUUGUGACCUAUGUACACUUGCCUUUCUUACAUAUGUACUGGGAAUGCCCUAAUGUGUUUGUCUUUUGGAGACAUAUAUGCUCCACUUUAAGUGAUAUGCUUGAAGUAAAUAUUCCACUGUCACCAACCUUACUUUUACUUAAUGAUGACUCUACUUUGGAACUGAGUUUACAGCAGAGGCGCAUACUAUGGGCUAGUCUCACCGCAGCAAAGAAAAUGUUGGCCUUGCGAUGGCAGCCGCCUCACACUUUAUCAUGGCAGCGGUGGGCCAACUCAUUCCUAGACAUAGUUAUGAUGGAGAGAUCUGUGGCCCGUGUCCAUGGAGCUAGUCAGAAAACUUUACGUGCAUGGGACGCAGCUUACACUUUGGUUAAAGAAAGAGUGCAGCAUUAGUAGGCCUAUACUUAACUGAAGGUUUUUUUUAUGGAGGG
Molecule: long non-coding RNA, 2478 nt
Organism: Clupea harengus (Atlantic herring)
Lineage: Eukaryota; Metazoa; Chordata; Actinopteri; Clupeiformes; Clupeidae
Source: Ensembl